CCCGCUUCCUCUGCCCCCUCUUUGUCUUCUUUCUCGCUUCCGCCCUUUCUCUCUGCCUGCUUUCGUUUGGGUCCACUCCCACCCUAGUCACUGGGGUGGAGUGUGCUGGAUCCCGGGCCCCUUUGAAGACCAUUCCAGCUGAGCAGCCUUGCGGUUCUGUGCCCGGGAGAAGUGGGACUCUCUCGUAGGGAGCAUGGGAGCAAGCGAGGCAGCAGAUACUGUGUGGGUCAGUGACUCAUCCUGUGGCCUUUGCAAUUUGGGAACACAAACCUGACCUAGUAGAGACCCCGGCAUUGUGGAACGGGGAGAUCGGCCCAGUGUCUGUGUCCAACUGUGCCUUCCAGAGUUCAAGUCUCCUUCCCACCAAGAUGUCCAGCCCAGAACCUCCAGCUCUCCGGCUGAGGCUUGGCUACCAAUGUCCUAUGGGACAGCAGGCCGAUCAGCUGAUGGGCCUCAAUCUUCUCAUCUAUCAAAUGGGCUCAAUAACACGUAUCUUGCCAACCUUUCAGCAUCCAGGGAUUUAGAGAGGAGAAGCAAAGGGGACAGAGAGACUCACACGAGGACAACACGGGCCUGAACAGGCAGAAGAGGCUGCUCAUCUCACCUCUCUGCUGGCCGUCGCCCCACCCUGGCUGAGAGGAA
This 642-nucleotide long non-coding RNA is filed under the name Chinchilla lanigera (long-tailed chinchilla). RNAcentral's name for it is "lncRNA (ENSCLAG00000025851.1)". The record is from RNAcentral. Lineage: Eukaryota; Metazoa; Chordata; Mammalia; Rodentia; Chinchillidae.